UCUGUGUUUGCUUCAGGAGAAAAAGACAUUUCCCCUGGCUACUGAAAUCCUUAAGAACCAUAGGGCUGUGGACUUUGCGCAGCGUGUAAGGAUUUGCCUAGCACGAUUUCCUCACUCAAGACGCGGGCCAGCGUGGCUCUGGGGACGCUGGGGACGGAGCCAACUUUCCGGACUCCCAGUUCACGGCCGUUCUUACAACACCGGGCUGAGCCCCGCGGUCACAAGUCGUGCAACGUCACGUCCCUUGUAAUGACAACACUACGGCUUGUCCCAAACCGGACCUCCCUGUUCCCGCAGGAUGGUCCUGUGUUGCAGCAGUUAAUCAGGUUGGGGAAGAGCCAGGAGAAGCUUCCCAAAGUGCCAGACGCCAAGAUGCAACCGGCCAGGCAGCCGGGACCUGCCAGUCGGCCACCCACCCACCGGAGAGGCGUUGUGCAGGCAGGUGGAUGCCCGCCUUCUACACUCACACCUGUGAUGCUCGGCCCGCGACUCGGGAGCCGCCAAGGAGGCAGAGCGCACAAUUCUUUGGACCCACGGGAAACACCACGGCUCCGGAGAGACUUUCCUGGCUUGGAGACAGGCGCUGGAGAAGUUAGCCGCCCAGAAAAGGUCCCGGGUCCUUCGGCUGUCCUCAUUUACAAAGACAAGUUAUUAAAAUAAACAGGAAGCCUGCCUGGUUUUUUCAACGGAGAGGCAGCCACCCUCCAUAAAAGGCGUUAGAACCCACAUCAGUGAGAAGGGUAGAAGGUGUUUCAAGUUCAUCAAAAAGCAUGAGAAGGAGGACGUCCUUUGUAUCUGUGCUUUCAGGAAGUUUCAGGAUUGGUAUUUAUUUUACAUCAGAGCCGCGCACAUAGCAAGCCCCCCUUUACGACACGCGUGGCGUGUGGCGAUCCCAGCGACGACCUCUACCCUCCGUGGCUGGACCGAGAUAUCAUUUUUAUGGGAAAAAUGGGUCUCUUUAAUCAGCUUUAAAAAAACAUCGUGACCAGUCGUCUCUCUUAUUUAAAAGUUUGACUUUACUUUCAUCAAUUUAUAAUCAGAGUACCCCCGGUAUGUUUGAUUCCUGACAAACAAGGAUAAAAGUCUUGUGCCCCCAUUGCUAAUGAGAUGAUAAGACAGCAGGGAUCAAGUUUUUAAUUACUACAGGCGAGGCACUGGAGAGGUACCGAUGAUAUUUUCUAUUGCAUGUCUAAGUUGUAACUUCAGGCUCAUGACAGUCCUGCUGAGUUGCACUGUCUUUGAUGAUCACUCAUUUUUCUCUCCUGAGAACACACAAAAAUUUCUGAGCUGGGAUCCUGGGGGGCUGGCAAUUAUUGGCAUAACCUGGUGCCGGUUCCCUCUCUAACCAUUAUGCUCAGUAAGGACCCCGUCUCUUAAUGCCUGCCAUUAUCCCAAAAGGGAAAUUGGACCCUGGAAAUGUCUGUGAACUCUCCCACUCAAACGACACCCAUUCUCCCUCUACCAGCGUGGGCUUUCCAUUAAUAAUAAAAUGCUUAAUUGAAUUGGGACA
Molecule: long non-coding RNA, 1510 nt
Filed under: Felis catus (domestic cat)
Lineage: Eukaryota; Metazoa; Chordata; Mammalia; Carnivora; Felidae
Description: lncRNA (ENSFCAG00000048646.1)
Source: RNAcentral